This is a long non-coding RNA of Physella acuta, 2832 nucleotides long. RefSeq lists it as uncharacterized. Lineage: Eukaryota; Metazoa; Mollusca; Gastropoda; Physidae. The record is from RefSeq and is a predicted model, not a curated record.
UGGAGAUUCUUGUCAAGGCUUCUAUUCGCUGGCUUAAGUUUUAACCACAAUCCUUCAAGAUCUCAACAGACAACAGCGUGUGGCAUCCAUCUUACCAUGUAGUACCUCGUUUAUCUGAUGUUUCGAGCUAGAGUACCAAUCGUCUCAAGUCCUGGUUAUACUUAGCAAGAGUUACUGCUAGAUCACUACUUCUUCUUCUUCGAUUGUCAGUCAAGUUUACUGAUAGAGCAAAAGUUACUGCUAGACCAAGCCGUUACUAUUUCUUUCAUUACGAUUGUCAGUGAAGUUUACUGACAGAGCGAAAGUUACUGCUAGACCAAGCCGUUACUAUUUCUUUCAUUACGAUUGUCAGUGAAGUUUACUGACAGAGCAAAAGUUACUGCUAGACCAAGCUGUCACUGUUUCCUCCACUACACCAAUCAGUCAAGUUUCCUGACAGAGCAGUUACUAUUACACCAAACCGUCCCUAACUACUUCCACUAAGAGUAACAGUCAAAUACAGUGGCAACAUGUUAUCAUCAACAUAUAUAUCGAAUAUAUCGAAUGUGCAGCAUAUUUUCUCUUUACUCAAUACACCAUUGAGUUGGAACUUUAAUCAUUUAACCAGUGAAGCAUAGCGCCCUAUUUAGCAAAGGUCGGCGUCAUUAUUGGAUAGUAGCUUAAAAAUUGCAAUGCCUUCUAGUAUGCAAGGAAGCGAAUUUCUUGAAUAAAUCUUCAUGAGCAAACUGAACCCUGAGGAACAUAAAGCACACAAGGCAUCCAUUGUUUACAAAACAUUUGUCAAUAAAAUCAAUAUGUAAUUUGACAACGGUAGAGGAAAUCUUAGAGUAGCAGAAGAAGUGGACUGGCAGUACUUUUCUAAGGUGUAAUAACCAACCCGCUUUCUUGAUGACCCUGAUUGAAAGACGGAUCGCUACAUACUGAUCGAUUUAAAGUGCAUCUGAACUCUGAAUUUCAGCCUGAGGAACCUAAAGAGAAUGAGUAUUAUGAAGCUUUAAUUUCAGUUAAAAUAAAUAAAUAAAAAUAAAUAUAAUCUACAUUAUUUAAUUAUGUUAUAAAAAAUGUAGUAAAUUGUAAAACCUAGGAGUUAGAUAUGUGUUUUAAAUUUGUGAACUGUGUUUUAUCUAGAUAGUUUCUCAAAUUACGUUUUUACUUUUUUAAUAUUACAUUUUAAAAGAAUAACUAAUUUCCGUCUCGAUUCAUCUUACUGAAACUAAUUUGGUAUACAUGAAUCAAAACUAACGUGUCCGUAAACUUAUUUCGAGCGGUGAAUUUCUUCGAAUGUCUAAACAUGAAGUAUUCACCCAACUCGCAAUGGCUGCUAGCUGUACUUUGCUUUUAAAAACCUAUUCUAUUGUUUUAUAAUUUUGGAGAAUGGGUUAAUUUAAUAUUUAGUAUUAAUACAUUUUCCGUUUUUUAAAAUAUUACUAAAAAGGCAAAUAUUUUACUAAACAGCUUUGUUCUAAUGUAAAGUCAAUUAUUUUUAUUUUGCACAAAAACUAAUUUUCAGAAAGCUUGCUGUUUUUUUGUGAAUGAAAAUUGGGUGUGAUAGAUAGUACGCUUGCUAAUAUUUUGCUUCGAUUUUUUACAUAUUUUCUCUAUUUAUUCAUGUGAGAUAUCACAUGUCAAUUACGCAGCCAAUAAAUAAAUAAACAAGUAUUUUUUAAAAUUAAUAUACAUAUAUAUAUAUAUUUAUAUACGGUAUAAAUGUUCAGAACGUAGGUUUUGAUGACCUUAUUGGAAAUAAGCAUUUACAUUAUUUUGUAGCCGUCACGAUUAAAAAACAAGGGGUAAAAUUUUAAAUUCAAUAUUUUCUUGAAACCGUUUUAUUUGAACAUACAAAUUAACAUCUAGUUUACAAAUAAAAAUUACCUAACUUUUAGCUUUAUCUACUCCGUGUUUAGAGUCACCACGUGAUACGUGUUAUUUUAAUGGACGCAUAAUUUGAAAAGAUACUUUUGCUUUGAAUGUUUUUUUUUAUAUUCUCUUCAUGUGAGGUAUCACGUGUAAAGCAGGCAGCAUGUUUAUUUUAUUGAAUCAGUUUGUCUUCUAACAUUAUAUAUACAGUAUAUGUGUAAAGAAUGCACCUACUGAUUCGCUGUAGUAAGCUUUUAUUUAAAUUUUAACAACUAAUGUUACUUUAUUUUUUAAUAUUCUCUUCAUGUGAGGUAUCACAUGUCAACUAGCAGGCAGUAAAUAAAUAAACAAGUAUUUUUUUAUUAAUAUAUCUAUUUAUAUACGGUAUAAAUAUUCAGAAUGUAGAUUUUGAUGAUCCUAUUUGAAAUAAACACUUACAUUAUAUUGUAGCCAUCAACCUAGACUUAUUUUUCGUGCGUCACGAUUAAAAAACAAGGGGUAACAUUUUAAAUUCAAUACUUUCUUGAAACCGUUUUAUUUGAACAUACAAAUUAACAUCUAGUUUACAAAAAAAAAUUACAUAAUUUUUAGCUUUAUCUACUCCGUGCUUAGAGUCACCACAUCAUAUGUGUAUAUUGAAUGGGCGCAUAAUAUGAAUAAUUACUUUUGCUUUGAAUGUUUUUUUUUUUAAUAUUCUCUUCAUGUGAGGUAUCACAUGUCAGUUACGCGGUAAGCUAAUAACUAUUUUGUAUCAAUAUAUCUAUUUAUAUACGCUAUAAAUGUUCAGAAUGUAGUUUUUGGUGACCUCAUUGGAAAUAUGCAUGUACAUUAUAUUGUUGCAAUCAACUUUGAUUGAUUUAUUCGUGCGUCAAUAUUAAAAAACAAGGAGUAACAUAUUAAAUUCAAUAUUUUAUUGAAACCGUUUUAUUAAAACAUACAAAUUAACAUCUAGUUUACAAAUAAAAAUGAAAUAUU